Molecule: long non-coding RNA, 267 nt
Filed under: Olea europaea (common olive)
Lineage: Eukaryota; Viridiplantae; Streptophyta; Magnoliopsida; Lamiales; Oleaceae
Description: long non-coding RNA (OEUR_LNC006576)
Source: RNAcentral
GAUGAAGAAAUUGAACUCAAAAGUGUAACUGGGUCGUACUGUUCAUUAGGGCCAAAACAUUCUCUCUUCGCUUUUUCGUAGAUAUUCCUUAUUACUUUUGUAUUCAUUUCUCAUGCAAAUCCUUGCAGUGUUUUCUUAAUUUCCCCUCUGAUAGUUUUCAAAUCUUCAAUCUUCCAAAGCUAUUUUUAGGCCGUAAUCUCCAAAUGAAUCUUCCUCUUCCAAAUAAGCCGAACAUAGUUACACAGAAGGCUUCAGUUAUUCCAUGGC